RNAcentral lists this long non-coding RNA (427 nucleotides) under Populus trichocarpa (black cottonwood). Its description in RNAcentral is "long non-coding RNA (PTRI_LNC002896)". The record is from RNAcentral. Lineage: Eukaryota; Viridiplantae; Streptophyta; Magnoliopsida; Malpighiales; Salicaceae.
UAAAAACCCGCUUGGGAGUUAGCCCGGUGAAACCUGGUCGACCCGGCGGGUCGACCCGUGACCCGGUCCACCCGGUCAAACCCGGGUGAGACCCGGUCUAUUUUUUUUUAAUAUUAACAGCCAUUAAACAACGUCGUUAUAAGAGUCUGUCUCAGCUGACCAAUAAUCACGUCUCCCUUUUCCUUUUUAACUUCCCACACUACCUAUUUAUAAGACCCUAUCAUCUCUUUCCCCUUUCUCUCUUUCUUGAUUUUCUUUUUAAUUUUAUGUCCCAUUAUCAUCGGUUCUUCCGUGAUAUUUUUUAACAAUCGGAAGGUGCCUUGGUUUUAGGGUUUUCCUUAUCUGUCACCUCAUUAUUUUUUGAUUAAUUGUUUAGUCUUUUAAUUAUAAAGUGAGGAAUUAUGAGAAGUUUGAGUGAGUAAUCGGC